UACGUAGGUGACCAGCGUUGUCCGGAUUUACUGGGCGUAAAGAGCGCGCAGGCGGUCGUUCAAGUCGAGUGUGAAAGCCCCCGGCUCAACUGGGGAGGGUCACUCGAUACUGAUCGACUGGAAGGCAGGAGAGGGAAGCGGAAUUCCCGGUGUAGUGGUGAAAUGCGUAGAUAUCUACAGGAACUCCGGUGGCGAAAGCGGCGUGCUGGACCUUUUCUGACGCUGAGGCACGAAAGCUAGGGGAGCAAACGGG
RNAcentral lists this ribosomal RNA (253 nucleotides) under uncultured bacterium. Its description in RNAcentral is "partial 16S ribosomal RNA". It matches the Rfam family "Bacterial small subunit ribosomal RNA", at positions 524 to 776 of the family's 1533-position model. The record is from RNAcentral.